AUAAUGAUACUUCUGCAUAGCCACAGACUCAAGCAAUGGGUGCAGUUUUGUGAGAACCACAAGAGGGUGAGAUUCCCAUG
This 80-nucleotide non-coding RNA is filed under the name pig gut metagenome. Its description in RNAcentral is "pemK RNA". It matches the Rfam family "pemK RNA". The record is from RNAcentral.